This 387-nucleotide ribosomal RNA is filed under the name uncultured bacterium. Its description in RNAcentral is "bacterial SSU rRNA". It matches the Rfam family "Bacterial small subunit ribosomal RNA", at positions 30 to 417 of the family's 1533-position model. The record is from RNAcentral.
AUUGAACGCUGGCGGCAUGCCUUACACAUGCAAGUCGAACGGCAGCACGGGAGCAAUCCUGGUGGCGAGUGGCGAACGGGUGAGUAAUAUAUCGGAACGUGCCCAGUCGUGGGGGAUAACGUAGCGAAAGCUACGCUAAUACCGCAUACGAUCUACGGAUGAAAGGCGGGGGAUCGCAAGACCUCGCGCGAUUGGAGCGGCCGAUAUCAGAUUAGGUAGUUGGUGAGGUAAAGGCUCACCAAGCCGACGAUCUGUAGCUGGUCUGAGAGGACGACCAGCCACACUGGGACUGAGACACGGCCCAGACUCCUACGGGAGGCAGCAGUGGGAAUUUUGGACAAUGGGCGCAAGCCUGAUCCAGCAAUGCCGCGUGCAGGAUGAAGGCCU